RNAcentral lists this long non-coding RNA (581 nucleotides) under Sinocyclocheilus grahami. RNAcentral describes it as "lncRNA (ENSSGRG00000031543.1)". The record is from RNAcentral. Lineage: Eukaryota; Metazoa; Chordata; Actinopteri; Cypriniformes; Cyprinidae.
AGAUUAAAUAUGUGCAUUUAACUGCAUUAUUUAAAAUUGCUCUAUUUUGCUUUGUAGAGCCUGAAGUUACUAAAGAGAAAGCUAAACGGACCCCUGGGAAGAAAGGUUUGAUUUACUUUAUGUAUUCAAUUUUCAUUGUAGUUAUCAGAAUGUAAUUCUUUCUCUAAACAUAUUUGCAAUAUGAUUAUUAUAGAGGCUGAAGUCAUCAAGGAGAAAAUUAAACCAGCCUCUGUAAAGAAAGAACUUGGGAUAAUUAAAGAAAAACCCAAGCCAGCACCAAAGAAAGGUAUGCCUACUUACAUUUAUUUGUGUUUACACUGUCUCUCAGAUAAAUGUAAUAUGUUAAAAUGUUUUGCAACAUUUUAGAGGCUGAAGUCAUCAAAGAGAAAGCUAAACCAGCCCCUGAAAAGAAAGAGGCUGAAGUCAAGGAGAAAGCUAAACCAGCUCCUUUAAAGAAAGAGCCUGAAGUUGCUAAAGAAAAGGCUCCUGAACCAAAACCCAAAAAAGAACCUGAAGCUGUUAAAGAGAAAGCUAAACCAGUCCCUAAGUUGAAAGGUUUGGUUUACUGUGUUAACAAUUAA